GAUGAACGCUGGCGGCGUGCCUAAUACAUGCAAGUCGAGCGAACAGACGAGGAGCUUGCUCCUCUGACGUUAGCGGCGGACGGGUGAGUAACACGUGGAUAACCUACCUCUAAUACUGGGAUAACUUCGGGAAACCGGAGCUAAUACCGGAUAAUAUAUUGAACCGCAUGGUUCAAUAGAGAAAGACGGUUUUGCUGUCACUUAUAGAUGGAUCCGCGCCGCAUUAGCUAGUUGGUAAGGUAACGGCUUACCAAGGCAACGAUGCGUAGCCGACCUGAGAGGGUGAUCGGCCACACUGGAACUGAGACACGGUCCAGACUCCUACGGGAGGCAGCAGUAGGGAAUAUUCCGCAAUGGGCGAAAGCCUGACGGAGCAACGCCGCGUGAGUGAUGAAGGUCUUCGGAACGUAAAACUCUGUUAUUAGGGAAGAACAAAUGUGUAAGUAACUAUGCACGUCUUGACGGUACCUAAUCAGAAAGCCACGGCUAACUACGUG
RNAcentral lists this ribosomal RNA (497 nucleotides) under uncultured bacterium. Its description in RNAcentral is "partial 16S ribosomal RNA". It matches the Rfam family "Bacterial small subunit ribosomal RNA", at positions 28 to 507 of the family's 1533-position model. The record is from RNAcentral.